RNAcentral lists this non-coding RNA (88 nucleotides) under marine eukaryotic metagenome. RNAcentral's name for it is "Purine riboswitch". It matches the Rfam family "Purine riboswitch aptamer", at positions 9 to 93 of the family's 102-position model. From Rfam's summary of the family: Riboswitches are metabolite binding domains within certain messenger RNAs that serve as precision sensors for their corresponding targets. Allosteric rearrangement of mRNA structure is mediated by ligand binding, and this results in modulation of gene expression. The record is from RNAcentral.
GUGAAUAUGAAUUUCUUGUAUAAUCCCGGGAAUAAGGCUCGGGAGCUUCUACCAGAUGACCGUAAAUCGUCUGACUACAAGAGGGAUG